AGAAUCAACGCUGGCGGCGUGCCUAACACAUGCAAGUCGAACGCGACUGGGGCUUCGGCUCCAGUUGAGUGGCGAACGGGUGAGUAACACGUGGGUGACCUACCUUCGAAUGGGGGAUAACGUCCCGAAAGGGACGCUAAUACCGCAUAACAUCCCGCUCUUGAAUGGGGGGAGAUCAAAGCCGGGAUCGCAAGACCUGGCGUUUGGAGAGGGACCCGCGUCCGAUUAGCUAGUUGGUGAGGUAACGGCCCACCAAAGGCGACGAAUCGGUA
This 272-nucleotide ribosomal RNA is filed under the name uncultured soil bacterium. RNAcentral's name for it is "partial 16S ribosomal RNA". It matches the Rfam family "Bacterial small subunit ribosomal RNA", at positions 26 to 285 of the family's 1533-position model. The record is from RNAcentral.